GCCAGGUGUGGUGGUGCGCGCCUGUAGUCCGAGCUACUCGGGAGGCUGAGGCAGGAAGAUCGCUCAAGCCCAGGAGUUCUGGGCUGUAGUGCACUAUGCCAAUAGAGUGUCUGCACUAAGUUCAGCAGCUACAUGGUAACCUCCUGGGAGUAGGGGACCACCAGAUUGCCUAAGGGUGGGUGAACCAGCCCAGGUCAGAAACAGAGCAGGCCAAAACUCCCAUGCUAAUCUGUAGUGGAAUCACAUGUGUAAAUAGCCACUGCACUCCAGCCUGGGCAACACAGUGAAACCCUGUCUCU
RNAcentral lists this signal recognition particle RNA (299 nucleotides) under Prolemur simus (greater bamboo lemur). Its description in RNAcentral is "Metazoan signal recognition particle RNA (ENSPSMG00000016000.1)". It matches the Rfam family "Metazoan signal recognition particle RNA". From Rfam's summary of the family: The signal recognition particle (SRP) is a universally conserved ribonucleoprotein. The record is from RNAcentral. Lineage: Eukaryota; Metazoa; Chordata; Mammalia; Primates; Lemuridae.